This 980-nucleotide ribosomal RNA is filed under the name uncultured bacterium. RNAcentral describes it as "bacterial SSU rRNA". It matches the Rfam family "Bacterial small subunit ribosomal RNA", at positions 12 to 973 of the family's 1533-position model. The record is from RNAcentral.
UUUGAUCAUGGCUCAGAACGAACGCUGGCGGCGUGCCUAACACAUGCAAGUCGAACGGAGGCAAGGGGCUUGCUCCUUGCUUUAGUGGCGCACGGGUGAGUAACGCGUGGAUAAUCUGCCUGAUGAUCUGGGAUAACAUUUCGAAAGGGGUGCUAAUACCGGAUAAGCCCACGGAGUCUUAGGACUCUGCGGGAAAAGGGGGGGACCUUAGGGCCUUCCGUCAUCAGAUGAGUCCGCGUACCAUUAGCUAGUUGGUGGGGUAAAGGCCUACCAAGGCAACGAUGGUUAGCUGGUCUGAGAGGAUGAUCAGCCACACUGGAACUGAGACACGGUCCAGACUCCUACGGGAGGCAGCAGUGGGGAAUUUUGCGCAAUGGGGGAAACCCUGACGCAGCAACGCCGCGUGAGUGAUGAAGGCCUUCGGGUCGUAAAGCUCUGUCAGAGGGAAAGAAGUGUGGGAGGGUUAAUACCCCUUUCACUUGACGGUACCCUCAAAGGAAGCACCGGCCAACUCCGUGCCAGCAGCCGCGGUAAUACGGAGGGUGCGAGCGUUGUUCGGAAUUAUUGGGCGUAAAGCGCGUGUAGGCGGCUCCUUAAGUCUGAUGUGAAAGCCCUGGGCUCAACCCGGGAAGUGCAUUGGAAACUGGGGAACUUGAAUACGGGAGAGGGCAGUGGAAUUCCUGGUGUAGGAGUGAAAUCCGUAGAUAUCAGGAGGAACACCGGUGGCGAAGGCGGCUGCCUGGACCGAUAUUGACGCUGAGACGCGAAAGCGUGGGGAGCAAACAGGAUUAGAUACCCUGGUAGUCCACGCCGUAAACGAUGAGUACUAGGUGUUGCGGGUAUUGACCCCUGCAGUGCCGCAGCUAACGCAUUAAGUACUCCGCCUGGGAAGUACGGUCGCAGACUAAAACUCAAAGGAAUUGACGGGGCCCGCACAGCGUGAGCAUGUGGUUUAAUUCGACGCACGCGCAGRAACCUUA